UACGGAGGGUGCAAGCGUUGUCCGGAUUUAUUGGGUUUAAAGGGUGCGUAGGCGGCCCUGUAAGUCAGUGCUGAAAUAUCCCGGCUUAACCGGGAGGGUGGCAUUGAUACUGCAGGGCUUGAGUGAAGUCGAGGUAGGCGGAAUUGACGGUGUAGCGGUGAAAUGCUUAGAUAUCGUCAAGAACACCGAUAGUGAAGACAGCUUACUAGACUUCAACUGACGCUGAGGCACGAAAGUGUGGGGAUCAAACAGG
RNAcentral lists this ribosomal RNA (253 nucleotides) under uncultured bacterium. Its description in RNAcentral is "partial 16S ribosomal RNA". It matches the Rfam family "Bacterial small subunit ribosomal RNA", at positions 524 to 776 of the family's 1533-position model. The record is from RNAcentral.